UUAUAAGAAUUGAGCCUUAUUUAGAGCA
Molecule: non-coding RNA, 28 nt
Filed under: Mus musculus (house mouse)
Lineage: Eukaryota; Metazoa; Chordata; Mammalia; Rodentia; Muridae
Source: RNAcentral